Malaclemys terrapin pileata is the source of this 2877-nucleotide long non-coding RNA. RefSeq lists it as uncharacterized. The transcript is spliced from 2 exons. Lineage: Eukaryota; Metazoa; Chordata; Testudines; Emydidae. The record is from RefSeq and is a predicted model, not a curated record.
UCGCCAGUCCACAGGCGCGGCAAACUGCUCCCAUGGCUACGAGGCAGGAGUGACCUUCAAUCCAGCGUUUGUGUUUGGGAAACUUAUUUGGCUGAUUUGAUUGUACCCUCGCAGCUGGUGUUCACGCGCUCAAGAGAUGGGUUCGUUAUCUUAUGUGCAUGUAUACUGCCUGGCUUUUCUAUGCGCAAGAAUGUAACCACUAAGAAGUGUUGUAAACAAAGCAAGGAGAGAAAUAAAAACCCCAGGAAAAGUUUUCCUGGGAGGCUUUUUGCAAGAGGCUUGUAAAACUCUCUGGCUACCAACAAACCUGGCGUUCUGUUUCCUGCGUCGUCACCACAGCUGGUGACCCCGACGUGAUGCCCCUCUACUCACCGGCUGGAUACGCCGAGCGCGCCCGCGGCUGUUUGCCGCCCCUUAUUCAUCAUCAGAGAAAACGGAUGCCAGCUGAACAGCAUUCAAUGUACCAUGCAUUUACUGGCACAAUAGGGAUUAUUUUUGUGUUUUAUGGCAAAAAUUGUUAAAAAUUUGCAUACCAACAGUCUUUGGAAGCAAAGACAUGGAAGGUUAACCCACUCUCCAUAUUGUCCAUGGGAUCCUUCUGGCUACCUCAGAUUUCUAGCCAGAGGGCUGGGGAGGGAGGAAAGCAAUUAGACACCUGAGGUUGUACUGAGUGCACUCCUCAAAAGUGGGUGUGCUUGUCCCGGUUUGUUGCUCCAAAGCUCUGUAAUAAAGUUAUUUUACUGGAAGAGUGAAGGUUUCCUUUGUAGGUUAAAAGAAGCCGAGAAAGGGAGAAGAGGAAAAAGCACAGAAUGAGUUAACUGAGAGGAAGAUACAGCUUGCAGGCUCAUCCAAGGCCACAGCCAAAACUUGGCUGACCCCCAAGACAAGGGGGGGGCUUAAAUGUGCCCGAGCAACUAUGAGAUCUGCAAAACACUGCCAGGCAUUAAUGAAAUGUGUUAGGUUUCUUUUCUCACAGGUAGAAAAGUGCUACCCAAAGAUCCUAGCACCCCUGCCAUUUAUUAAAACCAGGAGACUGAGUCUAUGUAAAGUCCAUCAAUGAAAGACUGCUUUGGCUCCAUGCUGGAAAGGCCCUUUCCAAGUCCUGUUAACCACCAACACCGCUGUGAAGUGCCAAGGACUGACUGCCUGGACCCAUGCUUUUCACUGCAAAAAGACCCCUCCACCUCGGGAGGACCUUUUGACUAAUGAUAAGCCUAUUUCUCCUUCUAGCCCUGCUGUGCCUUCUGGACAGCAGGAAAAAGGAAAAAAAGACAAGGUGAAGUGCUAGUAACCUCUCCCUUGUCCACUGACAGACCUACUGUUGCUUUGAAUUUUUCUAGAAGAAGCAAAACCAUUACAGGGUGAUGUGCUAGUAACCUCUCCCCUGUAUGAUGCUAAACCACACUGUUUCAGGAAAAGAGAAGAAGGAACACUUGCUUCCUUGAAACCACAAAGUCCAGGAAUUCCUGACUACAAGAGACAUUAAGAACUGACCCUGGUGAAGAAACAAAAAAUUAUAACCUGGAAAAAAAGAAACUUGUGGAACCCAUGCUUGAGAACGUGGUAUUGAUUGGAUUUUGGGGUUUAUUCUACAGGCUGCGCCCUGUGUUUUGGAUAAGUCCUUCAGUAUGUAUUGCCUUCCCUAAUUGGAUUUUAAAUGAUAAGUACCAAAGGCACCUUGUUGCCAUUGCCCCUGCUAUCUUCUUUAUUACACUAUUACCCCUGUAACACAUCCAAAUACAGACAAUGACCCAGAAGUUGCUAACAGAGAUGGUAUUGAAUAUCACUAAGGCUGGGAAGGCAUUGCAGUGGGAUCUAGCAUGUUCAGGCUUGGCCCACUGCCCUUACAGACACAUCAGGAGUACCAUCUGAUCUGUGGCCAUGGAGACAUACUUAGAGACUUUCUGGGUAAAAGUGCAAACGUUCUCAAUGCUCCUUCCAAGCAUAUGGACCGGUUGAGGGGGUGUGGCCUUCCACAUACCGAAUCCUGCCGGGUCCAUGGGGAGGAUGCAUGUGGGAUUGAGUAAUUCACCAAGACAUCUGGGAAAUUAAACUACCUGGUAUGCCCAGUUAAUUUUAGUCAGUGCUCCUGGGAUUACACCUGACAGGACACUUACUUCUUCAAGUUAAUGACAGCUGUGUGUAUGUUAAUGACACCAUAUUACAAGAAAUGCAAGGUCUGUUAAGUACUUGCCUUGUUCCUGUCUGUAAACCACCCAGCAACAUCUGGGAUGUGAGACAGUGAAAGAAAUGUGUUGUUUUAAGCUUACUGAUAAUAGUAAUCGCAUGUAAUAGCAAAUUGAUAUGCUGAAAUGUUAUGUUUAAGCUAUCCGCUAGGACGUUUUUCCUCCUUGGUGGGAUUAUAUCUAGUCAUAGCCACCCUUAGAGUGGAUGAAGACCCUUUUAUAGUAUGGGGUCCUAGUUUUGAUUUUUGAUGUUUUACUUUGCUGCUUUGUUUAAUGUAUACCCAAUCUAGUGGCAUUGUGUAUGCUACCCUGCGAGAGUGUUUUGUUUAAACACCGCAUUUAUAAAAUAAAACAGGGGGAGAUGUAGAGAUGCAUAGCUCCCGAAUCGCCAGUCCACAGGCGCGGCAAACUGCUCCCAUAGCUACGAGGCAGGAGUGACCUUCAAUCCAGCGUUUGUGUUUGGGAAACUUAUUUGGCUGAUUUGAUUGUACCCUCGCAGCUGGUGUUCACGCGCUCAAGAGAUGGGUUCGUUAUCUUAUGUGCAUGUAUACUGCCUGGCUUUUCUAUGCGCAAGAAUGUAACCACUAAGAAGUGUUGUAAACAAAGCAAGGAGAGAAAUAAAAACCCCAGGAAAAGUUUUCCUGGGAGGCUUUUUGCAAGAGGCUUGUAAAACUCUCUGGCUACCAACAAA